Molecule: ribosomal RNA, 253 nt
Filed under: uncultured bacterium
Lineage: Bacteria
Description: partial 16S ribosomal RNA
Rfam family: Bacterial small subunit ribosomal RNA
Source: RNAcentral
UACGGGGGGGGUAAGCGUUGUUCGGAAUUACUGGGCGUAAAGGGCUCGUAGGCGGCCAACUAAGUCAGACGUGAAAUCCCUCAGCUUAACUGGGGAACUGCGUCUGAUACUGGAUGGCUUGGAUUCGGGAGAGGAAUGCGGAAUUCCAGGUGUAGCGGUGAAAUGCGUAGAUAUCUGGAGGAACACCGGUGGCGAAGGCGGCAUUCUGGACCGAUAUUGACGCUGAGGCGCGAAAGCGUGGGGAGCAAACAGG